RNAcentral lists this ribosomal RNA (406 nucleotides) under uncultured bacterium. RNAcentral's name for it is "partial 16S ribosomal RNA". It matches the Rfam family "Bacterial small subunit ribosomal RNA", at positions 30 to 526 of the family's 1533-position model. The record is from RNAcentral.
AUUGAACGCUGGCGGCAGGCCUAACACAUGCAAGUAGAACGAGUGGCGGACGGGUGAGUAAUGUCUGGGAACCUGCCUGAUGGAGGGGUAUCACUACUGGACAAUGUAGCUAAUACCGCAUACCAUCGGAUGUGCCCAGAUGGGAUUAGCUAGUAGGUGGGGUAACGGCGCCACUAGGCGACGACCCCUAGCUGGUCUGAGAGGGUGACCAGCCACACUGGAACUGAGACACGGUCCAGACUCCUACGGGAGGCAGCAGUGGGGAAUAUUGCACAAUGGGCGCAAGCCUGAGGCAGCCAUGCCGCGUGGAUGAAGAAGGCCUUCGGGUUGUAAAGUACUUUCAGCGGGGAGGCGUUACCCGCAGAAGAAGCACCGGCUAACUCCGUGCCAGCAGCCGCGGUAAUUC